UUUAGAUGGCGACCGGCGCACGGGUGAGUAACACGUAUCCAACCUGCCGAUGACUCGGGGAUAGCCUUUCGAAAGAAAGAUUAAUACCCGAUGGCAUAGUUCUUCCGCAUGGUAGAACUAUUAAAGAAUUUCGGUCAUCGAUGGGGAUGCGUUCCAUUAGGUUGUUGGCGGGGUAACGGCCCACCAGGCCUUCGAUGGAUAGGGGUUCUGAGAGGAAGGUCCCCCACAUUGGAACUGAGACACGGUCCAA
This 250-nucleotide ribosomal RNA is filed under the name uncultured bacterium. RNAcentral describes it as "partial 16S ribosomal RNA". It matches the Rfam family "Bacterial small subunit ribosomal RNA", at positions 83 to 334 of the family's 1533-position model. The record is from RNAcentral.